CCAAAGCCAUUUCAUUUUUAUCUAUUCUAUAUUUGUUUCCUGUGAAGAUUUUACUUUAGUGGAGUUAUGCUUUUAAAAAACUCUUCAGGAGUUCCUGUCGUGGUGCAGUUGAAAUGACUCCAACUAGGAUCCAUGAGGUUGUGGGUUCAAUCCCUGGCCUCGCUCAGUGAAUUAAGGAUCGGGCGUUGCCAUGAGCUCUAUACCUCUGAUUAGACCCCUAGCUGGGAACCUCCAUAUGCUGCAGGCGCAGCCCUAAAAGGCAAAAAAGAAAAAAUUAUUUUUGAGAAUUUGCAAUUUUACUUUACAAACCACCUUUCCACUCCUUUGUGCUAGAGAGAGUUGGGAGCCAAUGGGCUUUCACUCAGAACCCUGUUGGCUUAUCUAAUGCACACCCAAACCAGAUGCACCCAGUGAACUGUGAUGAAUACCCCAGCUAACCACAAUCAUGCUCCCCACAGCAUCCAACUGCACAGCCCUCCCUUGUUCCUCAGUCAACCAAGGCCCCCCCUGGGGUUAAAACCUGUUGUGCAGGGCAACCUCUCCCCCACUUAGACUCAUGCCUAGAUAUCCAAGAGAUCACAGCAGACAUUGUCACUGAUAUUUUUUCUUUCCUUUUGUUGGCUGUGCCUGUGGCAUGCAGAAGUUCCCGGGCCAGGGAUCAAACUUGCACCACAGCUGUAGCCAGAGCCACCACAGUGACAACACCGGCUGCUUCACCCUCUGAGCCGUGUGGGAACUCCUCACUGAACAUUUCUUUAAACUGAAUCUGGAAGCGUUAAGACAAACGACUCAGUAAUUCCCACUUCUAGCUUGCUUAGGUCAGGACGGUAUAUAGGGGAGAGAUGAAAUCAUGCAAUUAGAUCCCGAGAGCCUACAGAAUAAAACAUCACUGCUCCAAGUCACUCAGCUGACUAAACUCAGGAAAUUUUAUGCCCUUGGAUACAUUGCUUAUCCAAAGCUGUAUCUAAAAUCACUUAGAAAUCAAACAUUUCUAUUGAAUUGGAUUCAUGGGCGUGCAACCCAUGGAGUUCACACAGGGUCCAGACUUAAAAUGCCCCAUGCUUGGUUUACUGCUCUACUGUCUUCGUUUUGAAAUUCCAAAUAAUGUAAUCUUUGAAUUUAUAUUUUGUAAGUGAAGUCUGAUGGGAAAACGUAGCCUGUGCAAGAACAGAGGAGAUUAAGUGUUCUCCAUUAUUCACUGCCGAAUGUGCGUGUGAUUUUCUAGAUUUGCCCAGGAACGCUGAAUUCUGGUGGAGAUCCAAAAUGCCUGCGUUCAGUAAGACACAAAACAAGUACAAGGUAAGCGUGUUAUGUCCAAAACUAAGUGGGGCCCUGAUACCCCUGAGACCCUGUGCUUUCCAUUUACACCAGAACUUGCUUUGAGUGUAGAAAGCAAGCAAUGGCAUCCUAAAACACACAAAUGACUGAAAAAUGCUAUCACGCCCUUUCUUACUUGUGUUAAUUUCCUGUAUUAGCCAACUACUUACACUGAAAAUGACAGGGAAGGAAAGGGAAAGAUAGUGACCUAUAGUUCUUUUCCUUUCAGUUCUUUCUUACUCAUCAGUAAGCUGAAGAUAGUGCUUGUAGGAUGUGUGCAUAUCAAGAAGCAAAAUAAAGACAGUUGAGGUAUUUUUGUGCAGUGUUUCCACUGCUCUGAUAAGGACGAAAUAUCUGUGUGUGUAUAAGCUAUAAUAUAUGAACUGUGCAAUUUUGGCAAUUCUGCAUGAGUUAAAUGCUCUUAUACUUGCAUUUUAAAAAGGCAUUGCACAAUACAGAGAUGAACGUUAAAAUUCAUGUUAAAUUUAAAAUUUUAAUUUUUAUUUAUUUAGAAUGACAUUAAACAUAAAAUUAAAAAAAACCAUUGCAAAUUUAGAAAAGAACCUCAGAAGAAAGCAAAACUUUACAUUUUAGCACCUUUUUUCCAAACAGUUUAAGAUAUAGUUUAUAAAAAUGAAAUCUUGCCAUUUGUGACAA
Molecule: long non-coding RNA, 1974 nt
Filed under: Sus scrofa (pig)
Lineage: Eukaryota; Metazoa; Chordata; Mammalia; Artiodactyla; Suidae
Description: lncRNA (ENSSSCG00045000172.1)
Source: RNAcentral